UGGGGAAUAUUGGACAAUGGGCGCAAGCCUGAUCCAGCCAUACCGCGUGGGUGAAGAAGGCCUUCGGGUUGUAAAGCCCUUUUGUUGGGAAAGAAAUCCAGCUGGUUAAUACCCGGUUGGGAUGACGGUACCCAAAGAAUAAGCACCGGCUAACUUCGUGCCAGCAGCCGCGGUAAUACGAAGGGUGCAAGCGUUACUCGGAAUUACUGGGCGUAAAGCGUGCGUAGGUGGUCGUUUAAGUCUGUUGUGAAAGCCCUGGGCUCAACCUGGGAACUGCAGUGGAAACUGGACGACUAGAGUGUGGUAGAGGGUAGCGGAAUUCCUGGUGUAGCAGUGAAAUGCGUAGAGAUCAGGAGGAACAUCCAUGGCGAAGGCAGCUACCUGGACCAACACUGACACUGAGGCACGAAAGCGUGGGGAGCAAACAGGAUUAGAUACCCUGGUAGUCCACGCCCUAAACGAUGCGAACUGGAUGUUGGGUGCAAUUUUGGCACGCAGUAUCGAAGCUAACGCGUUAAGUCGCCGCCUGGGGAGUACGGUCGCAAGACUG
RNAcentral lists this ribosomal RNA (550 nucleotides) under uncultured bacterium. RNAcentral's name for it is "partial 16S ribosomal RNA". It matches the Rfam family "Bacterial small subunit ribosomal RNA", at positions 355 to 896 of the family's 1533-position model. The record is from RNAcentral.